AUUGAAAAAAUGUAUGCUCUAGCAUAACAACAGUACAAAACACAAAAAAAUUAGUAAAAUAAAUUCAAAGUGUAUUAAAAAAUUAAUAAAAUUCAAAGUGCAUACAAAAUUUAAGUGAGAAAAUAAAAUAUAUUAAAACUUACCUUCACCAUGGAAAUUGGCGUGGCCUUGAACAACGAACUAGAAGUUCGGAUCUCGGAGGCCUUUUGCGUGUUUGAUACUCAUGGCGAUAAAUACAUGGACACUCGCAAUGUGGGAAAUGUUCUCAGAUUCUUAGGCUGUGUGCCGACCGAAAAAGAAGUCAACGACGUCAUGGCAGCCACCGAGUCCAUAGAUUACCCGGGGGAAACACAGCUACCAAAGUUUAUGGCCCAUGUCUCCCAGCUGCUUAUGGAUGAACAAAUGCAACCAGCGUCGACAGAAAAGCUGUAUGAAGCAUUUCAGGUGCUCGAUCCAGAAAACCAUAAAUAUCUUACCAAAGAGUAUUUCGGAAAGUUAAUGCUGGAGGACGGAGAACCCUUCACUGAAGAGGAGCUGGAGGCCAUGUGGCCGGUGGCCAUUGAUCCGAUCACUGGAAACAUUCCCUACACGUUCUAUAUUAACCAACUGAAGCACAAGGGCACAAUUUAUGAGGUGGCUGCAGCAGUGAAGGAGGAGAUUGUUCAGGCCGAACAGGGGCGCAAGAAGUAAGGAAGAAAAAAAAACAGUGUUUUUGGCCAGGAUAAUUAUGUUUAAAUAAAAAUUACCGGACUUAUUCAGCUUGUAACAUUAAAGCGAAUAUCAAAAUGGCGAAUGGGACAGAGAACGAUUAACCCAUUGUCGACCAGUGGGUUUUUAAAUACAAACAAUAAAAUUAUGAAACUUGAAGAAUUGUAACGCAGUUCAGGUGAAAAAUAUCGUGGUCAUUUCUUUAUUAAGUAAACAGAAAGGAUGGAUGAAAAAGCAGGCUUUAAAAAUAUUAUUUUUCGCGGUUGAUGUCAACUUGUUCACCUGUUUAAAUAGAGGGGGUCUGAAGGGUUAAUUUCGUUCACUCAUCAAUAAACUCCGUUAUCGAUAACUAAAAAACCAACCAAAAACAGCCACGUCAGCUUUUCCACCCAACCACUCGAAAACGAACACGCCAUCAUACAGAGUCCAGAAUUACAAGGUGAAUGAAAAAGUUGCAUGAGAUUGAAACCGAAAAGCCUGGAGCAGAGGCAAUGAAGAAGUUGAAAUCGGCAAGGCUGAGAAGCGCGGUCACGGCAAAUGAGACGAUCUAAGCAAAACAAAAAUCAGAUAAAAUUCGGUGCCCGAGCACAACACACGGAAACCAUGCAAAUUUGAUUUCGGCAACACUUUCUUAAAGGUUGCGCACUCCAAACAACAGUUUAUUAUUUUAUCUGAGUAACAUUAAAAUAUGGCACCGACCGCUAAUGCCUACUUGAUAACCGUGGACUCGGGCGUGGCCAUAUCAA
Molecule: RNA transcript, 1454 nt
Organism: Drosophila obscura
Lineage: Eukaryota; Metazoa; Arthropoda; Insecta; Diptera; Drosophilidae
Gene name: dynein regulatory complex protein 8
Exons: 5
Source: RefSeq, a predicted model, not a curated record